This 253-nucleotide ribosomal RNA is filed under the name uncultured bacterium. RNAcentral's name for it is "partial 16S ribosomal RNA". It matches the Rfam family "Bacterial small subunit ribosomal RNA", at positions 524 to 776 of the family's 1533-position model. The record is from RNAcentral.
UACGUAGGGUGCGAGCGUUGUCCGGAAUUAUUGGGCGUAAAGAGCUCGUAGGCGGUUUGUUGCGUCGACUGUGAAAACCUGGGGCUUAACUCUGGGCUUGCAGUCGAUACGGGCAGACUUGAGUUCGGUAGGGGAGACUGGAAUUCCUGGUGUAGCGGUGAAAUGCGUAGAGAUGUGGAGGAACACCGAUGGCGAAGGCAGCCCCCUGGGCUAACACUGACGCUCAUGCACGAAAGCGUGGGGAGCAAACAGG